This 90-nucleotide transfer RNA is filed under the name Rhodomicrobium sp. Its description in RNAcentral is "tRNA-Ser". It matches the Rfam family "tRNA". From Rfam's summary of the family: Transfer RNA (tRNA) molecules are approximately 80 nucleotides in length. The record is from RNAcentral. Lineage: Bacteria; Pseudomonadati; Pseudomonadota; Alphaproteobacteria; Hyphomicrobiales; Hyphomicrobiaceae.
GGAGAGGUGGCCGAGUGGUUUAAGGCGGCGGUCUUGAAAACCGUUGAGCGUUUGCGCGUUCCGGGGGUUCGAAUCCCUCCCUCUCCGCCA